Gossypium arboreum is the source of this 145-nucleotide non-coding RNA. The record is from Rfam. NCBI's taxonomy places the organism in Eukaryota, Viridiplantae, Streptophyta, Magnoliopsida, Malvales, Malvaceae.
UAUUAAAAAUUUCAUCCAUUUUUACUAUUAAAAACUUAUGUAGCUAACAUAAUAACAAGACAGUUACACAUGGUGUAUUACAUGCACCUGAUUCUAACGUACAUAAUUUAAUUUUUAAUAGUAAAAAUAGAUGAAGUUUUUAAUA